GCCGGGUGCGGUGGCGCGGGCCUGUAGUCCCAGCUACUCGGGAGGCUGAGGCUGGAGGAUCGCUUGAGCUCAGGAGCUCUGGGCUGCAGUGCGCUAUGCCGAUCGGGUGUCCUCACUAAGUUCGUCAUCAAUAUGGUGACCUCCCGGGAGCGGGGGACCACCAGGUUGCCUAAGGAGGGGUGAACUGGCCCAGGUCGGAAACGGAGCAGGUCAAAACUCCCGUGCUGAUCAG
Molecule: small RNA, 232 nt
Filed under: Cervus elaphus hippelaphus
Lineage: Eukaryota; Metazoa; Chordata; Mammalia; Artiodactyla; Cervidae
Rfam family: Metazoan signal recognition particle RNA
About the family: The signal recognition particle (SRP) is a universally conserved ribonucleoprotein. It is involved in the co-translational targeting of proteins to membranes. The eukaryotic SRP consists of a 300-nucleotide 7S RNA and six proteins: SRPs 72, 68, 54, 19, 14, and 9.
Source: RNAcentral